GUGGCCGGUAGCAAUGGCUUGUGGUUCGUUUGGAGACUGCUUGCUUAUAACACUUGGCCAGAACGAAAAUCUAUCUAAUAUCCGUAGCGCCAUAAUGUGUAGUAUAGCCGACAUUUGGCGUAUGAAACGAAGAGACAUUA
This 140-nucleotide small nucleolar RNA is filed under the name Drosophila yakuba. RNAcentral describes it as "snoRNA:GE27225". It matches the Rfam family "Small nucleolar RNA psi28S-2876". Rfam says of the family: psi28S-2876 is a member of the H/ACA class of snoRNA. This family is responsible for guiding the modification of uridines 2876 and 2956 to pseudouridine in Drosophila 28S rRNA. The record is from RNAcentral. Lineage: Eukaryota; Metazoa; Arthropoda; Insecta; Diptera; Drosophilidae.